This 253-nucleotide ribosomal RNA is filed under the name uncultured bacterium. RNAcentral's name for it is "partial 16S ribosomal RNA". It matches the Rfam family "Bacterial small subunit ribosomal RNA", at positions 524 to 776 of the family's 1533-position model. The record is from RNAcentral.
UACAGAGGUCUCAAGCGUUGUUCGGAUUCAUUGGGCGUAAAGGGUGCGUAGGCGGCGCGGUAAGUCGGGCGUGAAAUCUCGGAGCUUAACUCCGAAACUGCAUUCGAGACUGCCGUGCUUGAGGACUGGAGAGGAGACUGGAAUUUACGGUGUAGCGGUGAAAUGCGUAGAUAUCGUAAGGAAGACCAGUGGCGAAGGCGGGUCUCUGGACAGUUCCUGACGCUGAGGCACGAAGGUCAGGGGAGCAAACGGG